AACGGGUUGUAGCUGGCCUUCCGAGGCAUGUGCACGCCCUGCUCAUCCACUCUACCCCUGUGCACUUACUGUAGGUUGGCGUGGGCUCCUUUGCGGGAGCAUUCUGCCGGCCUAUGUAUACUACAAACACUUUAAAGUAUCAGAAUGUAAACGCGUCUAACGCAUCUAUAAUACAACUUUUAGCAACGGAUCUCUUGGCUCUCGCAUCGAUGAAGAACGCAGCGAAAUGCGAUAAGUAAUGUGAAUUGCAGAAUUCAGUGAAUCAUCGAAUCUUUGAACGCACCUUGCGCUCCUUGGUAUUCCGAGGAGCAUGCCUGUUUGAGUGUCAUGGAAUUCUCAACUUAUAAAUCCUUGUGAUCUAUAAGCUUGGACUUGGAGGCUUGCUGGCCCUUGCGGGCGGCUCCUCCUGGAUGGAUUAACUCGAUUCCGGACGGAUCGGCUCUCAGGGGGGUAAUUGGCUACCCUGGGACCGGGAAGUGGUUUGGCGAACUUCCAACCGUCCAUUAGGACAACUUUUUAACAUCUGAACUCCAAUCCAGGAAGAAUACCCGCUGAACUUUAGCAUAUCAAUAAACGGAAGAAAAGAAACUAACCAGGAUUCCCCUAAUAACUGCGAAUGGAGCGGGAAAAGCUCCAAUUUAAAAUCUGGCCGUCCUUGGCCGUCCGAAGUGUAAUCUGGAAAAACGGCCUCCCGGUGGAACGUGGUCCAGGCUCCUGGGAACGAGCGUCUAAAGGUGAGAAUUCCGUCUUUUAACCGACUACCAUGCUUUGUGAUGGCUCUCCAAGAAUCCCGUGUUUGGGAAUGCAGCGCAAAAUGGGAAGUUGAUUCCUUCUAAAGCUAAAUAAUUGGCGAGAGAACCGAUAGCGGAACAGUACCGUGAAGGCAAAGAUGGAAAAGCACUUGGAAGGAAAGUAAACCAGUACGUGGAAGUGCUAAAAGGAACCCUUGAAGUCAGUCGCGUCGUCGGAACUCAGCUAGCUCGGCUAAUGCACUUUCCGUGACGGUCAGCAUCGAUUUGACGCUGGAA
RNAcentral lists this ribosomal RNA (1028 nucleotides) under Trametes versicolor. Its description in RNAcentral is "eukaryotic LSU rRNA". The stretch from base 525 to 1028 matches the Rfam family "Eukaryotic large subunit ribosomal RNA", at positions 1 to 517 of the family's 3401-position model. Lineage: Eukaryota; Fungi; Basidiomycota; Agaricomycetes; Polyporales; Polyporaceae. The record is from RNAcentral.